GAAUUUUCCGCAAUGGGCGAAAGCCUGACGGAGCAAUACCGCGUGAGGGAGGAAGGUCCUUGGAUUGUAAACCUCUUUUAUCAGGGAAGAAGUUCUGACGGUACCUGAUGAAUAAGCAUCGGCUAACUCCGUGCCAGCAGCCGCGGUAAUACGGAGGAUGCAAGCGUUAUCCGGAAUUAUUGGGCGUAAAGCGUCCGUAGGUGGUUAUGCAAGUCUGCCGUUAAAGAAUGGAGCUUAACUCCAUAGGAGCGGUGGAAACUGCAAGACUAGAGUACAGUAGGGGUAGCAGGAAUUCCCAGUGUAGCGGUGAAAUGCGUAGAUAUUGGGAAGAACAUCGGUGGCGAAAGCGUGCUACUGGGCUGAAACUGACACUGAGGGACGAAAGCUAGGGUAGCGAAAGGGAUUAGAUACCCCCUGUAGU
Molecule: ribosomal RNA, 421 nt
Filed under: Synechocystis sp. PUPCCC 62
Lineage: Bacteria; Bacillati; Cyanobacteriota; Cyanophyceae; Synechococcales; Merismopediaceae
Description: bacterial SSU rRNA
Rfam family: Bacterial small subunit ribosomal RNA
Source: RNAcentral